Long non-coding RNA from Lolium perenne, 524 nucleotides. RefSeq lists it as uncharacterized. Lineage: Eukaryota; Viridiplantae; Streptophyta; Magnoliopsida; Poales; Poaceae. The record is from RefSeq and is a predicted model, not a curated record.
CAUACUCUUUCAUUGCCUAUGGUUCAUUGUCUGCUUUAUUUGUAUUUUGAUAGUUUAAUACUUCAUUGAAGAUGAAAAGUCGUAUCAUGAAUCUUAAUGCCGUCAUUUGUGUUUCCCUAGGCAAGGUACUGCUGGUGGGAGGCAAAAUCCUGAAAGGCGAACUCGAGAGUCAAGAGCAGUCCCUGCACCUGAUGCGAACGCAGAGCAGGGCUAUGGUUCCAAAGGCAACAAGAAGAUAUGAGGAGGGCCCACAUAGUGUCAAGUUUUCCGGCGAACCCAGGCGGAGAAGUCCCGAGUGAGGAGGGCCCACAUGCACGAUGGAGAAGGUCAUCACGAGUGGCGUGCGCCUUGGGGUUAAACUAGCCUUUGUGUUAUUUUCUGGAGAGGAAAGUUGAAUGAUCCAGUAAACGUGAGUUUACUCUUCUUUGGAGAUGGCAAGUUAGCAUGGGUUUACCUGGACAGCGAUGGGUGUGUUAAAGUGCGGCUGUUUUUCAAAAAAGUUGUGGGAAAGAACUCACAGAGAA